AGAGUUUGAUCCUGGCUCAGAUUGAACGCUGGCGGCAUGCCUUACACAUGCAAGUCGAACGGCAGCACGGGGGCAACCCUGGUGGCGAGUGGCGAACGGGUGAGUAACGCAUCGGAACGUGUCCUCUUGUGGGGGAUAACCAGUCGAAAGGCUGGCUAGUACCGCAUGAGAUCGAGAGAUGAAAGCGGGGGACCGAAAGGCCUCGCGCGAGAGGAGCGGCCGAUGCCCGAUUAGCUAGUUGGCGGGGUAAGAGCCCACCAAGGCGACGAUCGGUAGCUGGUCUGAGAGGACGACCAGCCACACUGGGACUGAGACACGGCCCAGACUCCUACGGGAGGCAGCAGUGGGGAAUUUUGGACAAUGGGGGAAACCCUGAUCCAGCCAUGCCGCGUGGGGGAAGACGGCCCUCGGGUUGUAAACCUCUUUUCCAUGGGACGAGGAUGGACGGUACUGUGGGAAUAAGCAUCGGCUAACUCCGUGCCAGCAGCCGCGGUAAUACGGGGGAUGCGAGCGUUGUCCGGAUUCACUGGGCGUAAAGGGCGCGUAGGCGGCGCUGCAAGUCAAUUGUGAAAUCUCCGAGCUUAACUCGGAACGGUCAAUUGAUACUGCAGUGCUAGAGUGCAGAAAGGGCAACCGGAAUUCUUGGUGUAGCGGUGAAAUGCGUAGAUAUCAAGAGGAACACCUGAGGCGAAGGCGGGUUGCUAGGCUGACACUGACGCUGAGGCGCGAAAGCUAGGGUAGCAAACGGGAUUAGAUACCCCGGUAGUCCUAGCCCUAAACGAUGAAUGCUUGGUGUCUGGAGUUUUUAUUCUCCGGGUGCCGUCGCUAACGUUUUUAGCAUUCCGCCUGGGGAGUACGGUCGCAAGACUGAAACUCAAAGGAAUUGACGG
RNAcentral lists this ribosomal RNA (890 nucleotides) under uncultured bacterium. RNAcentral's name for it is "bacterial SSU rRNA". It matches the Rfam family "Bacterial small subunit ribosomal RNA", at positions 8 to 916 of the family's 1533-position model. The record is from RNAcentral.